GAGGAAGCUCAGUGUCUCUCUAGAGCUCUGGGUGAAGAGUUGGAUCUCAGUCAGACUCAGCUGGAUCUGCAGGUCUGUAGAGGUCUGGAGCUGAUUCUGGAAUAUUCUGAAGGACUGACAGAACUAGAUCUGAGUCACUGCCGUCUCACAGAUAACAGCCUGGAUCUGCUGCUCCCAAACCUCCACAAAGUGCAAAACAUUGAUUUUAGUGGCAAUAGCAUCACUGACGCUGGGGCUGAGAAUAUCCACAGGAUCGUCACUCGCAACAGUAACAUAAAGACAGUAAGGCUCUUCAAUAACAGAAUUGAAUCCAGAGAGCUCUUCAGGACAGACCCCCGAUUUGAGAUCUGGUGAUGCCAGUAAACUCUCUCUGGAAUCAACAAACAGGUGAAAUAACCAGUGGGAAAUAAUGAGGUAACAGGGGUUAAAAGCUUUGAGGAAUCUGCCCAUCAGAGUCCCAAAGUAAAAUCAAGCCACAUUCAUUUUUAUCAUCACUUUCAAUCAUAAUCAGCAGUGGGUUUCUGUUGCAUUAACUGUGUUUCGUAAAAUUACAAAAUCAAUCUUCUUUGUAAACUGUCUUGCCCCUUCUCCACACUUUAUAUUAUUUGCGUCUUGCUGAGUUUAUUUUUUAAUUGCAUACCAAAAAAAUGUUUGCAUGUAAAACUACUGACAUAAAUCCUUAAGAAUCUUGAAAAAUACAAGAUUUCAGGAAAAAUACUGCAGCUUUGACAACUUGCUGUUUCAAUAUCCACUUUGUUCCUGUAGAGGGCAGCAACAAGAAAAUCCACAGCGAAGGUGGCAAGGAGGAGAUAGACAUGAAAACAACCAAAAUAAAGAGCAAGUGCAUUUAUACCAUUGAUUAGCUGAUCUUCUCCUCUUCAUCCUAAAGAAGAGAAAGACCAUUUGCAAGCAGGCAGUGUUUCACUGUCUGACCUCUGUUUACUGCAAACACAAUACGAGAGAGACAUUAUACUCAGGAAAUCACACUUACCUCAUUCCUGUGACUGAAAUGUUUGGCUAGUUAGGCAGGAGGGUAAAAAAAAGGGCUUUUGUUUUUACAGCUACAGUAUUAAUGUCAUGGUACUAAAGCAGUUAGGAUAUGUCACAACUGUAUUACAGAUGUUUGCAGGGCUUUCCCCCUACUGUUACUUCUGUCUGUUUUUCCUUUUUUUUAUGAUAACUUUAUUUUUGUAUCGAAUCCUGUGUAGAGUUCUUGGCCAGUAUUAAUCUGUGGGUAUGAUCAUAAACUGUUGAACUGUUACUGUAAUAAAUAAAUC
RNAcentral lists this long non-coding RNA (1277 nucleotides) under Sinocyclocheilus grahami. Its description in RNAcentral is "lncRNA (ENSSGRG00000024103.1)". Lineage: Eukaryota; Metazoa; Chordata; Actinopteri; Cypriniformes; Cyprinidae. The record is from RNAcentral.